ACUCAAGCUACACAGGGCGCACGGUGGAUGCCCUGGCGCCAAGGACCGAUGAAGGACGCUGUCGGCGGCGAAAGGGCCGGGGAGGUGCCUAGCAACCUUCGAUCCGGCCGUCUCCGAAUGGGGUAACCCCCCGCGGGUCAUGCCGCGGGACCCACCGCUGAAUCCAUAGGCGGUGCGGAGGCCAGCCUGGGAACUGAAACAUCUCAGUACCAGGAGGAAGAGAAAUCAACCGAGAUUCCCCCAGUAGUGGCGAGCGAACGGGGAAGAGCCCAAACUGUGCCGGCGUGAUAGCUCGCAGGCGUUGCCGGUGCAGGGUUGCAGGGCGUGGUCGGGCCGGGCUGCGACCCGGCCGGGAAGUGAGCAAUCCGCGCGUUAGCCGAACUGUCCUGGAACGGCAGGCGAGACAGGGUGAAAGCCCCGUAGGCGAAAACGGGCGGACUUCCUCGACCGCGUUCCUCAGUACCACGGGACACUGGGAAUCCCGUGGGAAGCCGGGAGGACCACCUUCCAAGGCUAAACAUCCUUGGCGACCGAUAGCGCACGAGUACCGUGAGGGAAAGGUGAAAAGAACCCCGGAAGGGGAGUGAAAUAGAACCUGAAACCGUGCGUCCACAAUCAGUCGGAGGGCUAUGCACAUCCCGCAAGGGAUGGGAAUGCCCGACGGCGUGCCUAUUGAAGAAUGAGCCGGUGAGUUGUCGCGUGUGGCGAGCUUAAGGCCGCGAAGGCCGGAGGCGUAGGGAAACCGAGUCCGAACAGGGCGACCAGUCGCACGCGGCAGACCCGAAACCGGGUGAGCUACCCAUGGCCAGGGUGAAGCGGAGUUAAUCCUCCGUGGAGGCCCGAACCCGUUGGUGUUGAAAAACCAUGGGAUGAGCUGUGGGUAGGGGUGAAAUGCCAAUCGAACCCGGAGAUCGCUGGUUCUCCCCGAAAGGCAUUUAGGUGCCGCCUCGAUGCUGAGCGGCGCGGUGGUAGAGCACUGGAUGGGCUAGGGCGGGAGGACCCGUACCGAACCCAACCAAACUCCGAAUGCCGUGUCGUGCUCGUCGGGAGUGAGACUGUGGGGGAUAAGCCUCAUAGUCGAGAGGGAAACAACCCUGACCGCCAGCUAAGGUCCCGAAUUGAUGGCUAAGUGGGAAAGGAAGUGGUAUCGCUCAGACAGCCAGGAGGUUGGCUUAGAAGCAGCCAUCCUUGAAAGAGUGCGUAACAGCUCACUGGUCGAGUGGUACUGCGCCGAAAAUCCAACGGGGCUCAAGCCAUCAACCGAAGCUGCGGAUCGUUCGCGGGUGCCGUCCCGCGGGCGGUGGUAGGGGAGCGUUCCGCUGUAGGUGAAGGCAGACCGCAAGGACUGCUGGACGACGCGGAAGUGCGAAUGCCGGCAUGAGUAGCGAAAAGAUGGGUGAGAAUCCCAUCCGCCGUAAGGCCAAGGAUUCUUACGGAAGGUUCGUCCGCGUAAGGUUAGGCGGGACCUAAGGCGAGGCCGACAGGCGUAGCCGAUGGACAGCCGGUCGACAUUCCGGCCCCGCUGCCCAUCCGUCACGAGCCAAGGGGGGACGCAGAAGGGUAGGCCUACCGGGGACUGGUUGUCCCGGGUUAAGCGGGUAGGCGGGGGGUCCUGGCAAAUCCGGAUCCCCAUCCAACGCCGAGACGCGAACACGAGCCCGAGCGCAAGCGACGGCGAAGUGGCCCAGCCCACGCUGACAAGAAAAGCCCCGUGGCCAGGAUGGACGGCGCCCGUACCGGAAACCGACACAGGUGGCCGGGCACGAAACGUGCUCAGGCGCGCGAGAGAACUCUCCUCAAGGAACUCGGCAAAAUCACCCCGUACGUUCGCAAGAAGGGGUGCCUCGGUAGGGUGACCGCGCACAGCGGAAGCCCGAGGAGGUCGCAGUAAAUAGGCUCAGCCGACUGUUUAACAAAAACACAGGUCUCUGCGAAGCCGCAAGGCGAUGUAUAGGGGCUGACGCCUGCCCAGUGCCGGAAGGUUAAAGGGAGGGGUUAGCCCGGGGCGACCCGGGCGACGCCUCGAACUGAAGCCCCGGUGAACGGCGGCUGUAACUAUAACAGUCCUAAGGUAGCGAAGUUCCUUGUCGGGUAAGUUGAUCAACUUGCCCUUCACGGGAGCGAUUCCGUGAAAAGAAUCCGGCUCAUAUCGGUGAAGCCCCGACCUGAACGGGUCAGGGUAAUACCGAGGGAAGCUGCGGUAGACUGUGUACCGUUAGCCCCGUAACGACUUCGGGAGCAAUCCCGGGGUGGCGUCUCCUGGUGGGUGACCACCAAAUUCAUAGGCGCCACAAGACGCCGGUAUCUCGCCUGGGGGGAGCCGACGAUGGAUCUCGGAGCCUACCUCUCCGGAUACGCUGACGGUGAAGGAUGUUUCUGCGUGACGUUCAACCGCAGCAGGCGGCACGCGCUGGGGUGGGACAUCCGCCCAAGCUUCUCCGUCAGCCAGAAUCGCGAGCGUGCGCAGAUCCUUGAGCUGUUCCGGCAGUCGUUCGGGUGCGGAACCGUCAGGCCCGAUCGGUCAGACAGAACACUCAAGUUCGAGGUGCGCAGCGUUCCGGAGUUGGUGAGAUCGGUCAUUCCGCACUUCAGACAACACCCAAUGUUGUCUGCCAAGCAGCGCGACUUUGAAAUCUUCGCUGAAAUCUGCGAGAUGAUGAGUCGCGGGAAGCACCUGACGGCAGCGGGAUUGAAGAAGUUUGCGGGACUGGCCGACGAGAUCAAUCGAAACGGCAAGAAGAAGUACCCCAGGCUGGAGAUAAAGGUAUAGUCUACGCCCUCUGGUAACAGGGGACGCGUGAAGUUCCGACCUGCACGAAAGGCGUAACGAGCUGAGCGCUGUCUCGAGGAGAGACUCGGCGAAGUUGUGCGACCCGUGAAGACACGGGUUACCCGCAGCUGGACGGAAAGACCCCGUGAAGCUUUACUGUAGCCUGUCAUUGAACUUGGUCUUACCUUGCAGAGGAUAGGUGGGAGGCUGCGAAGCCGGGGCUCCGGUCCCGGUGGAGCCGACCUUGGAAUACCACCCUUGGCAAGAUUAAGUCCUAACCGCCGACCUCACCGGUUGGCGAGACAGUGGCAGGUGGGCAGUUUGACUGGGGCGGUCGCCUCCUAAAAGGUAACGGAGGCGCCCAAAGGUUCCCUCAGCACGGUUGGAAACCGUGCGGCGAGUGUAAGGGCAUAAGGGAGCUUGACUGCGAGGCUGACAAGCCAAGCAGGGCGGAAACGCGGGCCUAGUGAUCCUACGGCGGCAAGUGGAAGCGCCGUGGCUUAACGGAUAAAAGCUACUCCGGGGAUAACAGGCUGAUCUCCCCCAAUAGUCCACAUAGACGGGGAGGUUUGGCACCUCGAUGUCGGCUCAUCGCAUCCUGGGGCUGCAGUAGGUCCCAAGGGUUGGGCUGUUCGCCCAUUAAAGCGGUACGUGAGCUGGGUUCAGAACGUCGUGAGACAGUUCGGACAAAGAGCUGUCGGAAAAUCCGGCUAUAUGCUGGGAAGCCUGGUGGAUCCCACGCUACCCAUUGGAGGGCCAUAUGGCCAGAGUGGGUGACAACGCGAUGGGUGCAGGCAAUCAGCAGGGAAGGCCAGAUCACCUCUGCCACUAUGUGGCGGGGUUCGUCGACGGAGAAGGAAGCUUCCACGUGGCGGUGCAGAGAAGUCCGAGCAGCCGCUGGAAGUGGCAGGUGAUUCCGGAGUUCCACGUGUCCCAGAACGACGGCAAUCAGCAUGUGCUGGAGCUGGUGCGAAGCGUUCUGGGUUGUGGAUACAUCAAGCCGAAUCACCGAGGCUCCCGAGAUCGGACCUUCGUGCUAGUGGUAAGAGAUCGCACCGAUCUCGCGAUGAAGGUUGUACCGUUCUUUCGCGAGUUUCAGUUACGCACAACGAAGCGCGCGGAGUUCGAGCGGUUCGCCCACGUCGUCGAGAUGAUGAUGGGAGGUCACCACCUCAGCCCCAAGGGGUUGAGGGAGAUCUUGAAAGUGGCCUUUCAGAUGAAUCAAGCAGGUGCGCGGCGCAGAAUGUCGUUGGACGAUAUCCUCGCCGAUCUGGAACCCUCAGAGACUGUACGCCGGACCCCCACGACCGUGGGGUGAAGAUACAGUCCGAGCUCCCAGGCGACUGGGAGAGGCAGGCAGAAAUGACCUGCCCCCUUCCUUGGUCGGAAGGAGUAACAAGACUGUCGGUCCCUAUCCGCUGCGGGCGCAGGUGGUUUGAGGGGAUUUGCUCCUAGUACGAGAGGACCGGAGUGAACGGACCGCUGGCGUACCGGUUGUCCUGCCAAGGGCACGCGCCGGGUACCUAUGUCCGGACGGGAUAAGCGCUGAAAGCAUCUAAGCGCGAAGCCCACCCCAAGAUGAGACCACCCACCGGGUAACCGGGUAAGCCCCCAGGUUGACGACCUGGUCAAUAGGCCGGAGGUGUAAGCGCCGCAAGGCGUUGAGCUGACCGGUACUAAUCGGGCGAGGGCUUGAUGCC
Molecule: ribosomal RNA, 4470 nt
Filed under: Pseudomonadota bacterium
Lineage: Bacteria; Pseudomonadati; Pseudomonadota
Also listed under: 1 other name
Description: 23S ribosomal RNA
Rfam family: Bacterial large subunit ribosomal RNA (bases 4-3489)
Source: RNAcentral